AGGUCUGCCAAUCAGCAGNUNNNCCCGAACACGGCGAAAUGAAAGUAAAGGUACGCUUGCGGUGGUUGCAUUUCUCAGAUUUUUGUGAUCGUCUUUGUGCGGCUGGAGACGUAAAAGUUUCCUCCGUAAUCCGUAAGCGGCCGAGGCAGGAUCCCGUGGAGAUAAAUAUAUAUGGCUUAGCGGUGAGUUGCGUCGUCUUGUGCUGCUUUCCUCUUUCUUCGGGAAGGGGUUGCGGUCGAGGCGGCGUCGCGUUCGGAGCCGCGGCUAAAAUCUCCAGUAACCGAAUCGAACGGCGGGACGUUUUCCUCGCGAGAACCAGUUCUCGGAUGGGCGCUCUCGUAUUCCUCGCACCUCUGCAUGUGCCACGGUCCUCUUACGGCCUUUUGACUCGUUCUCUUUUUUUUCCUUUUCCUCUCUCUUCCAAUCUGGGAGAUUGGGGUUGGAAUGGAGGAGGCGAGAAAGAGAGGUUUGGUUCGGGCACGCAAGUCGAGGUAAUGGAGAUGUUUCGCUCGGAGGAUGUCUGGCAAAAUAUAACGUUCCCCACUGUUUCUCUAAAAAAGAGAUUGCCGUACGUUUCGGGGGCGCACUGCCGGCCCGUUUCGACCGCCCUCGGUGCUCGUGGUCACACGAUAACAUCCGCGAAUGCUCCGGACGUUUUUAAAACCAUCGCUUUUCCUUUAUUCGGGUUUUUCCUCGGAGUUUUACCUUUACGGGUCUUUCUCCGGGGUUGCUCGGUGGGUUGCGUUGGGCGUUCGGCUAGGCGCGCGGGGGGCCCGAAAGUCGGUGAGGCGGAGCAAGAGCACACACGUUGGGACCCGAAAGAUGGUGAACUAUGCCCGGGCAGGACGAAGCCAGAGGAAACUCUGGUGGAGGUCCGUAGCGAUUCUGACGUGCAAAUCGAUCGUCGGACCUGGGUAUAGGGGCGAAAG
Molecule: ribosomal RNA, 929 nt
Filed under: Ballophilus australiae
Lineage: Eukaryota; Metazoa; Arthropoda; Chilopoda; Geophilomorpha; Ballophilidae
Description: eukaryotic LSU rRNA
Rfam family: Eukaryotic large subunit ribosomal RNA (bases 664-929)
Source: RNAcentral